RNAcentral lists this ribosomal RNA (301 nucleotides) under uncultured bacterium. Its description in RNAcentral is "partial 16S ribosomal RNA". It matches the Rfam family "Bacterial small subunit ribosomal RNA", at positions 509 to 807 of the family's 1533-position model. The record is from RNAcentral.
CAGUCGCCACGGUAAUACGUAGGGCGCAAGCGUUGUCCGGAAUUAUUGGGCGUAAAGAGCUCGUAGGCGGUCUGUCGCGUCUGGUGUGAAAUCCCGAGGCUCAACCUCGGGCUUGCAUCGGGUACGGGCAGACUAGAGUGCGGUAGGGGAGACUGGAAUUCCUGGUGUAGCGGUGGAAUGCGCAGAUAUCAGGAGGAACACCGAUGGCGAAGGCAGGUCUCUGGGCCGCAACUGACGCUGAGGAGCGAAAGCAUGGGGAGCGAACAGGAUUAGAUACCCCGGUAGUCCCUGUCUCUUAUAC